Long non-coding RNA from Hemicordylus capensis (graceful crag lizard), 6467 nucleotides. RefSeq lists it as uncharacterized. Lineage: Eukaryota; Metazoa; Chordata; Lepidosauria; Squamata; Cordylidae. The record is from RefSeq and is a predicted model, not a curated record. The transcript has 3 exons.
UUCCCUAUUCAAAUAUUAUAAACAUAAAACAUAUUUUUCCAAACACAAUUGGAGAUGGUUGAAUUAGCAGUCCUGAAAUGCUCUGUAAAUGGUUUGUUUGGCUUUUGCUUGUUACCUUGAAUCCACUCUCUGUGUGCAUGUAUGUCGAAAGUUUCUGAGGGAUGGCCCUGGGACAGUGCUGUGUGCCAGGGGGAUAAAUGCAGCUUAUGAAACAAGAUUUUUGUUUCUGGGUCUUGGUAAGACCUACAACAUGUUGGAAGUGAAGGACUAUAUGCUGUCUCUUGUCUCAACGACAUAGGAGGACAGACUAGUGAGUCAGAGGGCUAGAGGGUCAAGACAUUGGUCAUCCCUUCUCUACUGCUCUGACACUAUGCCUUGACAUGUAGAUUGCUAUUCUUAGGGACUUCCUUCCUUCCAGCCACUUCCUACUUCCUUUCCUUCUCUUUCCUUCCUUCUCCCUUGCAACAUGCAAUCUCCUCUCUCCCUGCACCAUGUGUGCAGGGAUGCAGAAUCCAUCUGCAUCUAGCUAGUUGGCUAGAUUAGAGAUCCCAUCUCUUCACUUUACUAUCUAGAAUGGAGUUCUAUAAUAAAUACUCCUUAUAUUGAUUUGAAAUUAUGAACUGGCUCCAAGUUACUUUACUCUCAGCAUACAUGCAUGCCUAACCAAAUUCCGCUGUAUUGUGCCUCUGUGCACCCUGCUAUAAUGAAAAAGGGUUUCUCUUACCAGAGAGAAUUCCCAAUAUGUGUGCUUCCUUGACACUCUUCAGCGUUAAAAAAUUCACAUGCUGUGGUGCCACAAUUUCUAGUAGAAUUGGGGAGAAUAGGCACAGCCUCUUCCAGUGUGGAGUGGAGGCAGGGAUUGAAUGAGUUUCACCUAGGAAUGCUAAUAUAAUGCAGAAACUUUGUGUGCCCACUGCCCAUAUGAAUAUCAUGUGUGGAAUCUGUCCUAUGGAUUUUCCAGAUGUUUCAGCUUUUCUUCUUAUACUCCAAAUGGACUGAAACCUCAGUAUGCAGCCAUUUUAGACAUAAUAGACUGCCAUUUUGGAUCAUCCUUUUAAAAAUAGUUCUAUCUGGCUUCUGUAAUUUCUUGCAAAUAAGAAACAAUAGGAUCUCCACCAUAUUAUGUACAAACCAUAUAAUGAAGAGUAUGUAACACUUUAGUUAAGUAUAAUUUUAAAAUCAAAGAUACUCUCAACAGUAAUCCCCUGCUAACUUGGCAGAGAGACACCUUUUACCAUGGUGAUUCUCUUUAUUUAGCAAGGGGAGAGUAACUGGCCCUAUCCACCCCCAGCACAGUACCUCCAGUGAAUGUUGCUGGUUUCUAUCUGAUGUUUCUUUUUAGAUUGUGAGCCCUUUGGUGACAGGAAGCCAUCUUCUUUUUAAAAUUUAUUUCUCUAUGUAAACUGCCCUGAGCCAUUUUUGGAAGGGCGGUAUAGAAAUUGAAUUAACAACAACAACAACAACAACAACCAGUAACAGUAAUAACAGUAAUAACCAAUAAUAAUAAUAAUAACCAGUCAAUAACACCUGUCUGACUGUGUAAAUAAAGUAUGGCAACUUGAAGAAAGAAACAGAGGGUUUAAUACUGGCUACACAAGAACAGGCACUAAGAACAAAUGCAAUAAGAGCCAAAGUAGAAAAAUCAACAACAAACAGCAAGUGCCGCCUUUGUAAAGAAGCAGAUGAAACAGUGGACCACCUAAUCAGCUGUGGUAAAAAGAUCACACAGACUGACUACAAACAAAGGCAUGACAAGGUAGCAGGGAUGAUACACUGGAACAGCUGCAAAAAAUACAAGCUACCUGUAUCCAAAAAUUGGUGGGACCAUAAAAUUGAAAAAGUUGAAGAAAAUGAAGAUGUAAAAAUACUAUGGGACUUCUGACUACAAACAGACAAACAUCUUCCACACAGUACACCAGAUAUAACUGUAGUCGAGAAGAAAGAAAAACAAGUCAAAAUAAUCGACAUAGCAAUAUGAUAGCAGAAUAGAAGAAAAAGAAAUAGAUAGCAGAAUAGAAGAAAAAGAAAUAGAAAAAAUCACCAAAUACAAAGAUCUACAAAUUGAAAUUGAAAGGCUGUGGCAGAAAAAGACCAAAAUAAUCCCAGUGGUCAUUGGCGCCCUGGGUGCAGUUCCAAAAGACCUUGAAGAGCACCUCAACACCAUAGGGGCCACAGAAAUCACCAUCAGCCAAUUACAAAAAGCAGCUUUACUGGGAACAGCCUAUAUUCUGCGACGAUAUCUAUAACAACAACAACAACAGUGACAAUAAAAUUCUGGCAUCCCAGGUCCUUGGGAAGGACUCGAUGUCUGGAUAAAACAAACCAGUCAAUAACACCUGUCUGACUGUUUAAACAAGAAAUAAUUAAUAAAUAAUAUUGUCUGUCUCAAAUAAGUCAACAAAUCCACAAUGGUACCCUGGUGACCUCUGUUUAGAUCUUAGUCUUUGUCAGAAGGAGAAUAGUCUUAGAAAAGUCCCAUCAACUUGACUGCACUGAUCUAAAUGCUCCAGAAUCCAAUAAAGUGUACAUGAUUCUAUGGAGGUUUUAGGGAACGGUUAAAAACCUGUUAAAAAUCACUUGCUUGCCCUUUUCUUUUGUGGGGUAGCAACCAUUAUGCUCUACCACCCAACCCACUUUGGUGUCCCUAGGAGCUUACCAUGGGGAACGAUUGAGUGUUUUGUGUUUCCCCAUUGCUCCCUAUGGAUGAUAAUGUUUCAAGUUUGUUUCAUCAAAACAGCCAGUUCAACUGCUGUUUCAACAAAAUGGUUGGGGCCUCUGCAUUUCAUUGCAAGCUCAAAACAAAACACAAUAUCUGCUUCAUGCAUAUCCCUUGUGUGUGUUAUUAGUAGCCUCUCCUUCACUCUAUAAUAAAAAAGAUAAUACUGCUACUGUCUUGACUUCAUCCCAAGACUAAGAUGUUGGAUUGGAUCUAGAUGAGAUAGAAUAGGUAUUACUAUCUGGCUUAUGCGGAGCAGGUGUGGUGGCAACCCUAUAUAGGAACUGAAGUAACCAAGAUAGUGACACUAAUUCUCUUUGUUCAGUUGGGAAUUCAGUGAGGAGUUUGUAAGGGAUAAUUACUUACUCCUCUUGAAAUUGGUUUAUCUUAAUCUUGUCAUACUUGGUUUGCUACAAUUUCUUCCAGAGCAUGCAUUAUUGUUCUUUUGUGGUCUUUAUUGUUCAGUAAAAGCUAAUGUGAUAGCAUCAGGCUCCUGCUUCUGCUCUGUUCAUUUUUGACCUACAUGUAUAACACCUGAGUGUCUGUUAAAUUUGUCUUUAAAAUUGUUCUGUAUUAUGUAGAAGCUUUUUUAAAAAAUCUAUGUCUUUCAAGGCUGUAUGUCUCACAACUGUAGUUUUGUACAAAGAGUAACAGUAAAUAGCAGUAAACUGACUUCAACAGAAAUACAAUAAAGUAGAAGAAACAUUGUAGGCAGGCUCACAGUUAAUAGAAAAUACAUAAUUAGGUAUCUUUAGCCUGUAUAUAAAAUAUGUUAUGUUAUUUAUAUAGUUAUAUAUAGCUAUUUCUAUUAUGUAUAAGGUACCAUCAUGCACUUGGUAUGAUGGCACUAUAUUACAUCGAAAGACAGCUGAAAUGUGACAAUUUACAGCAGAGAGAGACAACAGAGAAAGAGCAGAUAGCUGUCUGAAGGGGCUUACAAUCUCAAUAUCAACACAAGGGAAACAGCAGAGGGAGGGGAGCAGAGUAGGAGAAGAAUAUCGAAGGGAUAACGACCCACUGCAACAAAAAGACAACAACUCUGCAGAAAAUGUCGGCAACUGGAACCACAUGGAUAAUGCAAUUGCUUGGUUAAAACCAUUAAAACAAUAAAUAUUUAAUUAAAAGCCUGGGUGAACAGAUGCGUCUUCAAAGGCUUUUAAAAAGCUGUCAGAGAUGGGGAGACUCUUAUUUCAGUAGGGAGCGCAUUCCAAAGCCUUGGGGCAGCAACAGAAAAGGCCCAUCCCUGAGUAGCCACCAGACGAUCUGGUGGCAACUGCAGAUGGAGCUCUCCUGAUGAUCUCAAUGGGUGGAUAUUUGGUGGAUCUAUUUACCUCCGUGAGUAGCGCAUGGAGUUCUGUGAAGAGCUCACUGCCAGCUGGCGAAGCAGUAGCAGAUGGAGAUUGUAUUGGUGACCCUUUGCUUCAUUGAGUCCUCCUCCUCCACCUCACCUUUGUCACUCUACUUCUCACAGCACACCCAGUUGAAGAAGCAGCAGGAAGUGGAGAUGGUAGUGGUGGUAUUUCCUUUAUCUAGGACAUGGAUACUGUCAUAGUAACGGACUUAAAUGAAUUUCUAAGUUAACAUUUAUUCAUUGUUAUUCCAUAAGUAACACUGAGGGAGUUAUUCAUGAAAGCUGUGCAGACAGGGAAUGAAAACAUAGUUUCCAUAUAGGGAUACAUUUGUGUUGCAUGAAAGAAUAUUGCAUUUUUUAAUGUCAGAAUUCUUCUUUCAUAGCCUUUCUAGGAUUGGUCUUGUGUAUAGCAUCUCCUGCAUACAGCUUUGAUCCAGUCAAUGAUCAAGUGCAAUGGCAGACUGUAUGGAUUGAAUAUUCACUGAGAUGUUUUCACAGAAAGAAACCUGUCGAAUAAAAGAACACAGUGCAUAUUCUUGCUUAUGAAUAGCUGUGGAAGGAGGUUGCUGCAAUUCUUGCAGUGUAAUACUACCUAGACAUGUGUGCAUUCCCUGAGUGCAUGUAGGAUUGUUUUGUACCAGAAAGCAAAAGAUUCUUGAACUUUGUUCAUUCCUUCAUUUUAAUUAGGUCAAGAAUGGUGAAGAAACAAUGCACCUAUUAAGUUGCAGAAUGGUUAUAUUUCUUUCGCCUAAAAUACUACUGGUGAUUAAUAUACUUUGAAAAGGUUCAAGACAAGAAAACCUUGACAAAAACAAUUAUCACUCAAUUCUCAAAUUCUCAAAAUAUCACAGAUAAGGCACUUGCCAGUGACAGUUUCUGUCUUCUGUGAGCAUAAUUAGUUGGAGCAGGUGAAUCGUGUGUGUGUGUGUGUGUGUCUGUGUGUGUGUGAACUCAGAUGCUGAUAGAGAGAUCAAAGAUCAUCAAGUCAGAUCCCUGGAACUGUGCAAGGAGUUAUUUAGUGCUAUCAGCUCCAUCUAUGGUUUAUUGUGCAGGGGGAAAUGUAGAUCAGUUUAAAUGCAAGUGCAUUUGCACUAAUGAUACACAGAGUAGAUAAAAAUCAAUGAGUUAUUAAAAUGAAGAUUAGAUGUUUUAUCUAGAUCAGAUUUGUAAAAUACAUUAUAUUGCAACUGUCUCUAAAAACAAACAGGUUUAAAAUGAAAUAUACCUGUAAUACAAACAAACAUGUUAUACCUUACAGUUGUUUCUUAAAUUGCCUUCUAUCAAACUCACUGAGUUAAAGAUUGCUUUUUUAAAUGUGAAACUAAAAACCAUGGGGGAAAUAUCUGACUUUUGAGGUCAACCGUUAUCGAUAAGUGGCCAUAUAUUGCAUUUAUUGAAGCUGAACUGAAAUGCCACACCCAAUCACACUUUUUGCAUGCUGCAAAGCACAAAAUGGAAUUUUGGUGAUCAGAGAAGAUGCAAAAGGGAACUAAGCCCAGGAAGUCCUCCAACUUUCUAGGGGCUUGCAGAAGGCAUUUCUUUUCCUCCCAAGAAUCCCUAGAGUGAGAGCAGCAAUUUUCAAGACCACCACUGGAAAUUUUGCUACCAACAUAAUCCCCUUUUGCAGCCUCUUCCCAAAUGACCAAAAUGCCCCUCCCCUUGCCUCGUGUUGAGGGGAGGGCAAUUAGUCUCAGCCCCUUCAGCACGAGAUCCCAAGGGGGCUUUCAUUGGGCCUGUUGCUUCAUGGGCGGAGUUUGGUCAGGCUGCUUCCAUGGCUCCCCACCCCAAACUUUCAGUUCGGAGUGGGAUUCUCCCACCCUCCCUUCACUAGGAAUAGAGAGGUCCUAGUGGCUGGUAGUCCUUUUGGGGGCCGAGUAGGAAUUUUUGGCUCCCAACAUAUUGGCAUUGUUGGGUUUUUUCCCCCACCUACUCUGUUCUGUAUUCCUAGUGGAUUGCUUAGAUAGUUAGGUCGCAGCUUGGCAGGGACAAUGCAGGUUGGGGUGGUAAGUGGAUGGGAUGGAACAUGGUGAGCACCCUUGAAUAAUUAAAUGGGUAAUUGACCAAUCGCUCCCUUGUGGUUUGUGUGGCCCAGGGAGGAUGAUUCGCCAUGAAACCUGCUUCGGGACUUCACAAACCCUUGGGCUGUGCAGUCCUGGGUGUGUGAAGACCUAGAAGGAUUCAGGCCCCCCUUUAGGGGAUUGGCUAUGAAGGGGAGGGAGCAGGUUUUCACCUGCUGCCUUCCUGAGCCAGGGUGUGUCACCCAAGCAAGGUGCAGGGGAGGACGGUGGAGUCUGAACCCAGUCAUUGCUUGCCUCCUGCACUGUCUUGGGGAGGGGGGCUUACCCCCAUCCAGUCCGUUCAUUGCUUAUAGUUUUAAAUAAAGUUGUGGCCCUUUUACCC